GGAAUUCCUGGCGAAAAUGGAGUUCCUGGAAUACCAGGGUCUCCAGGUCGUCUGAGCACACUAGGGGAAAGGGGUGAAACAGGGCUCCCAGGAUUUCAUGGAAUGACCGGAAUGAAGGGAGAAAGAGGUUCCCAAGGGAAGAAAGGAGAGCAGGGAGACCCUAUCGAAGGACUCAUGUCACCAUCGGCAAUGUCCAGCUGUCCGGAGGGAUUUCACUUCUCGAGACGUUGGGCUGUUUGCGCCCCUUCAGUAAAACUACGUGGAAGUGUGGUUGGCUAAUUUAAACUUGUUGGUCAUUUUAACAAAAUUAACAUACACGGUAGCAAAUUUAUGUAAUAAAUUAGCAAAAGUUACAAAAUUUUCUCUACCAAAACAGGCCAAUGUGCAAGUG
Molecule: RNA transcript, 391 nt
Organism: Folsomia candida
Lineage: Eukaryota; Metazoa; Arthropoda; Collembola; Entomobryomorpha; Isotomidae
Exons: 3
Source: RefSeq, a predicted model, not a curated record